AUUGAACGCUGGCGGCAGGCCUAACACAUGCAAGUCGAGCGGAUGAAGGGAGCUUGCUCCUGGAUUCAGCGGCGGACAGGUGAGUAAUGCCUAGGAAUCUGCCUGGUAGUGGGGGAUAACGUCCGGAAACGGGCGCUAAUACCGCAUACGUCCUGAGGGAGAAAGUGGGGGAUCUUCGGACCUCACGCUAUCAGAUGAGCCUAGGUCGGAUUAGCUAGUUGGUGGGGUAAAGGCCUACCAAGGCGACGAUCCGUAACUGGUCUGAGAGGAUGAUCAGUCACACUGGAACUGAGACACGGUCCAGACUCCUACGGGAGGCAGCAGUGGGGAAUAUUGGACAAUGGGCGAAAGCCUGAUCCAGCCAUGCCGCGUGUGUGAAGAAGGUCUUCGGAUUGUAAAGCACUUUAAGUUGGGAGGAAGGGCAGUAAGUUAAGACCUUGCUGUUUUGACGUUACCAACAGAAUAAGCACCGGCUAACUUCGUG
Molecule: ribosomal RNA, 484 nt
Filed under: uncultured bacterium
Lineage: Bacteria
Description: partial 16S ribosomal RNA
Rfam family: Bacterial small subunit ribosomal RNA
Source: RNAcentral